GUUGACCCACUGGCAGCAUGGCACCAGUUUGCAACUUCAACUGUAGAGAGCUGAAGUGUGGGCUUGUUAGUGGUGGAUCCGUACAGGUCUGAAGCAACUUGAUUCUUGCCUCCUUGAAGGAAAGAAUUUGUCUAAGGGGCAUAAGGCAGAGUGAGAGACCAAGGCCAUUUUUACUUUCUGCAGAAAGAGUACACUUGCCGGCAGUUUUGCUACAAGAGUACAGCGAACAAAGGGGACAGGGUAAUUUAUAACCUGACGCGUUCACCCUACUGCUGUGUCCGGUUUCCAUUGGCUGGAACGGGACCUCACAUUCUGUAUUUGUCCCAAUUGGAUAGCAACUUAGAACUUUCUAAAAGAGGCAAAGGCAGAGGAGAACAAAGGAAGGAGGAAGUAACUUGUGGAAUGCUGAGAAAGGGAGUUGGUCUCUCAGUCCAUGGGCAAUUUCGAGUGGCUACAGAAAAGUGUCUUUUUGCUAUGCCAGAAACUGCAAUAGAGUUACUUGUCGAUUUCAACAAAAAAGCCUGCAGAUGAA
RNAcentral lists this long non-coding RNA (532 nucleotides) under Homo sapiens (human). RNAcentral's name for it is "non-protein coding lnc-MSTN-3:2". Lineage: Eukaryota; Metazoa; Chordata; Mammalia; Primates; Hominidae. The record is from RNAcentral.